CCCUUAGAUGUCCUGGGCCGCACGCGCGUUACACUGACGCAUUCAACGAGCUUAUAACCUUGGCCGAGAGGCCUGGGCAAUCUUGUUAACGUGCAUCGUGAUAGGGAUAGAUUAUUGAAAUUAUUAAUCUUGAACGAGGAAUUCCUAGUAAACGCAGAUCAUCAAUCUGCAUUGAUUACGUCCCUGCCCUUUGUACACACCGCCCGUCGCACCUACCGAUUGGGUGGUCCGGUGAGGCUUUGGGAUCUGAGCGGAAAGAGCGUUUCGCUGUUUCUGCUCGGAAAACUCAGUCGAACCUUAUCAUUUAGAGGAAGGAGAAGUCGUAACA
This 328-nucleotide ribosomal RNA is filed under the name uncultured eukaryote. RNAcentral's name for it is "partial 18S ribosomal RNA". It matches the Rfam family "Eukaryotic small subunit ribosomal RNA", at positions 1470 to 1796 of the family's 1831-position model. The record is from RNAcentral.